UGGGGAAUAUUGCACAAUGGGCGAAAGCCUGAUGCAGCGACGCCGCGUGAGGGAUGACGGCCUUCGGGUUGUAAACCUCUUUCAGCAGGGACGAAGCGCAAGUGACGGUACCUGCAGAAGAAGCACCGGCUAACUACGUGCCAGCAGCCGCGGUAAUACGUAGGGUGCGAGCGUUGUCCGGAAUUAUUGGGCGUAAAGAGCUCGUAGGCGGUUUGUCGCGUCGGCCGUGAAAACUUGGGGCUUAACCCCAAGCCUGCGGUCGAUACGGGCAGACUUGAGUUCGGCAGGGGAGACUGGAAUUCCUGGUGUAGCGGUGAAAUGCGCAGAUAUCAGGAGGAACACCGGUGGCGAAGGCGGCAUCCUGGACCGACAUUGACGCUGAGGCGCGAAAGCCAGGGGAGCAAA
Molecule: ribosomal RNA, 405 nt
Filed under: uncultured bacterium
Lineage: Bacteria
Description: bacterial SSU rRNA
Rfam family: Bacterial small subunit ribosomal RNA
Source: RNAcentral